CGAUGACGCAUUUCCAUUUCAGUAUGGCCAUUGUGGAGGAGGACUUGAGAAUGGCAGUUUGGUUUUCGAAAAGUGACCGAGUAUUACAAAACUACUGUUGGGAACAAUGUGUAAAUAGAUCAGGAGUUCCCAACCUUCUUCCUUAAGGACAUCCUGCCUAAUGGAAUUCCAAAGGAAGAUUUUCCAUGCUGUUCGGUUUGAAAGAUGAACUUCAAAUCAUGUUAAAUGCCUUAAUGGUGAAAUUCAGAAUGAGGGGUGGUGGUCAAUUAGAAAAGAAGCCAUUCAAAGCUAUACUUUGUUAAGGCGGAUGGACACAGCAUGGGCUGCCAGAUGACCUUGUAACAAUGCGACACACACCCAGGUCUGAUCAACCUGCGGUGGGCCUCCCUUGGCUGAGGGUGUCUUGUGAUAAAGGGCCGAAACACCCAAUGAGGCUAAGGUGCACAAGUGACGAUGUGUCGAAUUGAUGGGAACCACACAAAGGGCAUUAUCAGCAGCACCUCACCAAAAGGCAUCCUUCACCCACACUGUCAGAAAAAAUUUGCCAAAUUUGUACCUUUAGGGGUACAAUGGCUUGUCACUGGGGAAGUACCCGCAAAGGUACACAUAUUGUACCUUUCCACAUGGAAACCCAGACAGCAAGCAACCAUUGAAUCAAUGUAAAAAAUAGCUGAUUUGUGAAUGUUAAUAGCAUUGAAUCAAUAUCACUUUUGCAUCUGCAAUUAAUGUUGAAACAAAUCACCAUUAUUGUGAUCAGUGUUUGCUUUAGUUGGGCUCUUGACUCUUGAGUUUAAUGUGAAGUUUUCUUUACUGUCUAACACAUAUGUUGUGGCAAAGAACCAUUAUUGUGAUCAGUGUGUAGCGGUUUUAGCUGCAUGUUAAAAUAAUGAUGAGCUAAGCUCACCAAAUAUGGUUCUCCACCAGAUCUAUCAAGAUCACAUCCAUGAAAUUAGUCAUUUAAAACAUCAAUUUCAGUUAAGGAAUUAGUCACGCUCACUGAGCGAGAGGAGAGAAAAUUCAUAAGAGAGCAGCGUAUAAUUGAAAGCGCACGUCCAGUUUUGUGCAUGAGCAAAGGAAAUCGGCGUGCAAGCGGAGAGAUUCGCGCGCUCGUAUUAUAAGAAUGCGCUCUCGCCUUGUAAUAAUGCGCUCGCGACAUUUGUCAUUAAAAUAACGCCAUACGCGUCACAUUUUAACAGAUGAGAGCAUUCAUACCGCACGCGUAAGCAGCGCGUGCUCGCGGAGCAAAGUAUGGAAAGUAUGGAAAGCCGUUUGGGUCAUAUUUCGCCAUCAACCAGACGCCUGGUGUUCAGAAGACGCCUGGUUUUACAGCGUUUAAGACUUACAGACGCCGUAAAGUAUGGCCGUUUUCGCCAUCGAAACGGCGUUAAUAACGGCGUUUUUAAGAGCAAUUUGAAACGCCGUUCAGACUUCCAUAGUACGCCGUGACCCAGCCAACAUUUUUUUGUGGGGCCAAUGUAGGCCCCAUAUGGACUUGAGGCAUGGGCCCCAAGUGGGUUUGUCCACGGGUUCCAUGUCGGCCCUACUGUAUGUGAAUUAGCCCAUAUGAAUCCUACGUAGAAUCUGAGUGGGGCCCAUGUGGGACCCCAGUGGGCAACAUGCAUAAGGCCCAUAUUGGUCCCACCUUAUAAAGCCCAUGUGGAUUACUCUCUGGUAACAUUACGCUGAGAACCCUCAAAGGCUUUUCAUUUAUAAUUAGCGCUACACGAACCAGAAAUAUAACGCAAACAAAGCAAAUGCAACAAAUCUGUGUUAUAUGAUGUACAUUGUCAGUAAAAAACAAGGUUCUUGAAGAACACAUUAACGUAUUUAAAAUGUAAUGAGAACUAGCAUUCUAGCACUACACAGGCUGCAGACAAUGAUAACGCGGGCUGCAUAAAUCUGGUCUCAGAACAGAUUACAAUUUAUGUCCUAACGUUACAUCGUUUCUGACAUCAGCCUUUUGAGCUUUACACGUCUGAGGAAUUAAAAAGAAUGGCAUUAAAUAUAGUAAAUUUGUGUCACUCGUCAUAGGCUGUGGUAAAGUCAAUUCAAUUUUACCUCAGGUGGAAAAAUGGCAGGUACACGCAGGCUUACAAAAUGCAAAGGAAAAUAACGGUCAAAACAGGGUUCCCGGUGCUUGAUAACACGGAUAUCAAAACCACGCUUAAGAAAAUAUGAAUUUUACCUUCUUAUUUUUUAUUUUUCCAGUCCCGACUCGACAAAGUUACUGCUUGGUGGAGUUGUAUUCUUCGCUCCUUUUGAAUUGUUUUAUUGGGUCAUGUUUUUAAAUGUCGGAACACUACCCUGUUGCUGACAACUGAUUAAAUGACAAGAAACGAUUAUUAACAAGCCAACCGGUGUAAGGCCUUAAUGCAUGUAACAGCUGCGAGCAGUCUGCUUACUGUACACUGUUGCAAGUAUGAUUUUAUUGAUUAAAAAUGAUUUCCCAUA
This is a long non-coding RNA of Triplophysa rosa, 2451 nucleotides long. RefSeq lists it as uncharacterized. The transcript has 5 exons. The record is from RefSeq and is a predicted model, not a curated record. NCBI's taxonomy places the organism in Eukaryota, Metazoa, Chordata, Actinopteri, Cypriniformes, Nemacheilidae.